UUCUAUGACGUUAGCGGCGGACGGGUGAGUAACACGUGGGCAACCUGCCUGUAAGACUGGGAUACUUCGGGAACCGAAGCUAAUACCGGAUAGGAUCUUCUCCUUCAUGGGAGAUGAUUGAAAGAUGGUUUCGGCUAUCACUUACAGAUGGGCCCGCGGUGCAUUAGCUAGUUGGUGAGGUAACGGCUCACCAAGGCAACGAUGCAUAGCCGACCUGAGAGGGUGAUCGGCCACACUGGGACUGAGACACGGCCCAGACUCCUACGGGAGGCAGCAGUAGGGAAUCUUCCGCAAUGGACGAAAGUCUGACGGAGCAACGCCGCGUGAGUGAUGAAGGCUUUCGGGUCGUAAAACUCUGUUGUUAGGGAAGAACAAGUACGAGAGUAACUGCUCGUACCUUGACGGUACCUAACCAGAAAGCCACGGCUAACUACGUGCCAGCAGCCGCGGUAAUACGUAGGUGGCAAGCGUUAUCCGGAAUUAUUGGGCGUAAAGCGCGCGCAGGCGGUUUCUUAAGUCUGAUGUGAAAGCCCACGGCUCAACCGUGGAGGGUCAUUGGAAACUGGGGAACUUGAGUGCAGAAGAGAAAAGCGGAAUUCCACGUGUAGCGGUGAAAUGCGUAGAGAUGUGGAGGAACACCAGUGGCGAAGGCGGCUUUUUGGUCUGUAACUGACGCUGAGGCGCG
RNAcentral lists this ribosomal RNA (685 nucleotides) under Priestia megaterium. RNAcentral's name for it is "bacterial SSU rRNA". It matches the Rfam family "Bacterial small subunit ribosomal RNA", at positions 82 to 755 of the family's 1533-position model. The record is from RNAcentral. Lineage: Bacteria; Bacillati; Bacillota; Bacilli; Caryophanales; Bacillaceae. RNAcentral also lists the same sequence under 1 other name.